CAGAGCAAAGGCAGUCUUUUGCCCGGCUCCCUGGCUGGAGCCAACAGCAAACAGUCUAUGGCCCAGCUCCCUGGCUAGGAAUGAGCAAAGCAGUUGGUGGCCCAGCUCCCUGAUGGGAGCAGACAGCAAACAAAUGCAGGCCGUCUGGCCUAAGGAAUCCUCUAUUCCCAAGAACCAUCAAGAAGCCAUGCUCAGAGUCAGAGGAUGGCCAUGGUAGGGGGGAGAAACAAACUGGAAUCCUGGGACAGCAGAUGGGCAAUGGGCAGGAGCUGCUUUGCUGGACAAGCAGCGAGAUGAAUCAGGAGCAAGACCAUCUAUAUUGCACCAAAGACUUCUAUGUACAAUCUGCUCUUGGACAGCCAGUCAUCAAGAUAUGGUAAGACGAUUGAUGCACAUGAGCAGCUACUGUGGCAAAGACUUUGGAUAAUAUCCUUGGUGAAAGAUGUGAGGUCGAAGGAAAGCACUCGAUACCGGAUUUGACCCUGACCAACUACAAAAUGAAGAAACCCCUUUUGGGAGUGUUGAAAGGAAAUAUGCUACCUCAAGACUGAGUGCCAUGAACAAGUCACCAGAAUCCAAGGAUGGAAUUAUAGCUGCAAGGAUUACCAACUUGAAUUUUUGUGACUUCGUGAAGGAGCUUGGGAGUCUUAGAUUUAAUAUUAUUCUCCAUCCCCUGUUCCUUUUGGAACCAGAAAAUAUUUAGAAUAAAAUCCUCUCUACUGGACCGGAACUGGUUCUAGGGCCCCUAUGCAUAGAAAGGAUAUGGUUUCCUGUCUCAGCAAAUGCUUGAGAAAGGGGUCCUUUAAAGGAGAAUGGAGAAUGUGGGUGGGAAGGGUGGAUGGAGACAAAAUGGGUAGAGAAACCUGAUGUUAUGACCUCCAAAACUCAUUUGUCUGAUGUAAUUUGAUCUCAGAGGUUGAAAAUGGGAGAAGUGGUUUCCAACGACAGAGAGGUAAUUAGCACCUGAAAUUUCCAAUGGGAAUGUUCUUAACCAUUGACCAGACCAUCAAAAUUGACCCUUUGAUAAUGAGGAGACCUGGUGGGUAGUGGUCAUAGCAAGAGACAUCUUCUUCUGAUACCUCAGCCCUUUUUUUAAGUGGAUCAGCUGAUCUAUGAGAACUGAAGAAUUGAAUUGAUGGGAUCUCUACCAUAUGGGACUGACUUUCUCUUACUUGCAAGUGUUUGAAGACCUGAAAGUGGCCCUUGAUUCCUUUAACAUGUGUAAGGAUUCAUCAGCAGAUUCAUUAAAAAGUUUCAGAGUAUCAAAACAUAGGUCCUCUACAGUAUUUUGGACUUCUCCUGGAAAACCCAACAGCUGCAACCAAGAUGUUCAGCACACAAUGACCAGAGUAGAGAUAGACUGAGUUGGCUGCAUCUAGGGGGGCUUGCAAUGUUAUCCUAACCAAGAGUUGACCCUUCAGUUAUGAUGGCUUGAAAUUGCUCUCAAUAUUCCAGGGAAGAGGUUCAAUGAAAGUGUUUAACUUGCUGUACUUUGUGUGAUUAUAUUUCUCCUUUAAAGCAUGAUAAUUAGCUAUUCUGAACUGGAAGGUUGCAGAAGAGUAGCUUUUGUGUCCAAAAUGGUUGAGGAGCUUUUGGUCUUUAUCACCAAGGGUAGACAUGAUGUGGUAUUCUCUACAGCUAUGAAACUGAACAGCUCCAGACUCUCCAAAAAUACAAUCAAGUUAAAUGACAAUAAAUGAAAACACUAAAUUUCAAAACUAGAACUUGAAGCUAUAGCUACUAAGCAGAAGGCAGACACUGCCAAAAGUUCAGUCUCAGGUUGUAGAGGAGUUGAAAAGGAACUGAGGGGUGUUCGCUUGCACCGCCCUAUACAUCCUUGGUAUGGCUUAUGAGGAGUAGGGUGCAUGCAUGGGCCAAAUGGACACUGCUACCAAGAAUCUCCAAUCAGUGGCACAUGGGGGACAUGCACUCUUGACGUGGAGCACCCAUGUGGACACUAGUCAAAGAAGAAGAAACAGUUCCUGCCCCCAAAGAGUUUAUAACCUAAGGGGAAACAGCAACACAGAGCAAUGAUAUGACAUGCUCAUGGCCAAUGGCAGAGUGAGGAAAAGAAUCAGAUUCUCUUGGUUCCUAGCAAUCCAGCCACUAGACCAUGCUGACAUCAAUCCCAGAAAUCCACUAGGCCAGUGGUCCCCAAACUGUGGGAUGUGCCCCCAUAGCAGGGCAUGGAGGAACGUGGGGUGGGGGGGGAUACGGUGGGGUCAGGCCACAUACAGCUGCAGCCCCAGCACUGCCCCCCAGCCCCGCUCCUGGUCCCAGACCUGCCCACAGCUAUAGCCCUGGCCUCAGCCCUAGCUCCCAGCCCAGCUGCAGCUCUGGCCCCAGCCUCAGCCCCUGGCCCUGACCAUGGCCCCAGACACACUCCCAACUGUGGCCCCGGCCCCAGCCAUGGCCCUGACUCCCAACCACAGCUCCAGAUGUGGGAGUGUGGAAAGCGGUAAUAGGCGGUGCAUGGUAAAAAAAUUGGGGACCACUUCAGUAGGCCAUUCUGCAUCUCUACGCAUUAUAUGGCAUAGUCUGGUAGCUAAAGCAGCAACUGACAGAGCGGACAGUUUAUGUCUGAUUCUGAUCACUUCCUUACUAAACAUACAGAUUUGAUCAGCAUAGAAAGGUUAAUUUGUAUUAGAGACUAAAAUGUUAAAGCUUAACAUAUGAUAAAAAUAGAGGGGAAAGGUGAAGUUAUUAGAAUUCAUUUUUAUUCACAAU
Molecule: long non-coding RNA, 2727 nt
Organism: Chelonoidis abingdonii (Abingdon island giant tortoise)
Lineage: Eukaryota; Metazoa; Chordata; Testudines; Testudinidae
Source: RefSeq, a predicted model, not a curated record